UUUGUUUUUUUUUUUUUUUUUUUGCUUUAAGUGUGUCGGAUGUCAAUUUUGGCUUUUGAAACGACAUCGACAGUAGCAAGCAAAGCUCUUAGAAGGCUUGUGACGCCGAGAAGAAGCUAAAAAUUGUUCCAAGUCAAAAGCUAAACCAUAUGAAUCAGGCUUGUCUAGUGCUAAGAAGAUGUUUGUUGAUGGCGGCAUGGCUUUUUGGCGGAAAGAAAAGGGUAGUUUAAUGAAGUCGUGAUGCAGGGCUCAACUUCUACGAAGCUUGUUCUUUCUGGUUCUUUAUUAUUUAUUAUAUUUUUUGUGCAACAGAAACAACAAUAACGAAUGCAGGCGUGUGCCUUGUUCCGAGCACAAGGCUAAAAAGGCGUGCCUUUUUUAUUUCUACAUUAGAGCAGCACUUCUAUUGGCAAAAAGCACUACCACACAACUCAAAAUUUGUCAAUCUAGAAGUUUUCAAAAUUAGCAUCGCUAAUGAUAACUAGUCACCAAAAUCUUAUCAAACUAACAUACUCAGAAUCGCAAACCUCCCAUAUUUCCAUUUUCAACAAUAAUACUCAUUAUCUUUUUCAAAGAAAAAAAAAGAAGUUGCUUCUACACCUAUUUUAAGAUCAAUGCCAAUCUAACUUGAGAACUAA
This 638-nucleotide unclassified non-coding RNA is filed under the name Hevea brasiliensis (rubber tree). Lineage: Eukaryota; Viridiplantae; Streptophyta; Magnoliopsida; Malpighiales; Euphorbiaceae. The record is from RNAcentral.